UACAGAGGUCUCAAGCGUUGUUCGGAUUCAUUGGGCGUAAAGGGUGCGUAGGCGGUCAGCACAAGUCAGUUGUGAAAUCUCCGGGCUUAACUCGGAAAGGUCAACUGAUACUGUGCGACUAGAGUGCGGAAGGGGCAACUGGAAUUCUCGGUGUAGCGGUGAAAUGCGUAGAUAUCGAGAGGAACACCUGCGGCGAAGGCGGGUUGCUGGGCCGACACUGACGCUGAUGCGCGAAAGCCAGGGGAGCGAACGGG
This 254-nucleotide ribosomal RNA is filed under the name uncultured bacterium. RNAcentral describes it as "partial 16S ribosomal RNA". It matches the Rfam family "Bacterial small subunit ribosomal RNA", at positions 524 to 776 of the family's 1533-position model. The record is from RNAcentral.